Molecule: ribosomal RNA, 405 nt
Filed under: uncultured prokaryote
Description: bacterial SSU rRNA
Rfam family: Bacterial small subunit ribosomal RNA
Source: RNAcentral
UGGGGAAUAUUGGGCAAUGGGCGCAAGCCUGACCCAGCAACGCCGCGUGAGGGAAGAAGGUUUUCGGAUUGUAAACCUCUGUCCUUGGGGACGAAAAAAAUGACGGUACCCGAGGAGGAAGCUCCGGCUAACUACGUGCCAGCAGCCGCGGUAAUACGUAGGGAGCAAGCGUUGUCCGGAAUUACUGGGCGUAAAGGGUGCGUAGGCUGUUUGGAAAGUCAGAUGUGAAAUCCCCGGGCUUAACUCGGGUGGUGCAUUUGAAACUUCCAGACUUGAGUGCAGGAGAGGAAAGCGGAAUUCCUAGUGUAGCGGUGAAAUGCGUAGAUAUUAGGAGGAACACCAGUGGCGAAGGCGGCUUUCUGGACUGUAACUGACGCUGAGGCACGAAAGCGUGGGGAGCAAACA